CCUUAUUACAUAAAAAUCUAAUCUAAGUAAAAAAGCAGUAAAGAAUAUCUUAUUCUAAUCUAUUUGGUCCCUGAAGGACCUUCUCCAAGCUUGGCUCUCUCAACCCCAUCAAACAUGUUCCCCAGAUCGUGCAUGUCCAUCAAUAAGUAAUCUUUUGCUAGCUUGCCUCCUCCAUCGUUGUCCAUGCCUUGAAAAUCCCAAGAUCUCUUUCUCAUGUUUCCUUCUAGCUCGAUCAGUCCUUGCUCUAAAUAUUCUAAUCUCUCUGUCGACUUAGUGACAAUUUUUUACUUUCUCUCAUCACCUCCAUGUUUACUUUAUGUUUCUCCAGAUGUUUUGCUUCAGAAUCAAACACCCUUUUGCGUAGCCUAUUGUACUAAACAUGUGCCUCGGCCACUUCAUCUAUGAUCCUAUCCUUCAUAUUGAGUCCUUGUUUGAUAUCCCCAGCUAUGUCAUCAUCUAUCCUUGAUAGAUAGUAGUGUAUAUGGCCAAUGUAAUACUCAUCUGGCUCAAUUGUUUCUCCUUCCACAAUGAUUUUUUGGUUCCACAUGUGUUGCGCUUCGAACUUGAAUGGGAUGACAUCUCCCUUGAAAUAUGCCAUGUACUAAACCAUGUUGGACACUCGAGGUAUAACUUAUUUUCUUCCAGCUUGCCUCAUUACCUUAUAGAAGUGUACGGGUAGAUGCCUUGCAGAUGAUCAGUACCAAGUGAGUAGCCCCUAUUAACCUAAUGAUGAACUCGCUACUAGAAAAUUAUUCAAACAUCCAAUGCACUUGCUCGUCUGUCAGAUUGUUGAAAAAACUCACUCAACCUACAGCAUUUCUAAGCUUUGCAAACCUGUAUGGAAUAAAUGCCAUUUUAUUUGGUUGAUGAUUGUCUAUGUAGCCAUUCAGUAGCCUUCUCAUAAGCUAUUGAUGAUACUCACCCCUCUGAAAAGUUUCCAGCAGCUAGACUUGUAGCAAUAGAUUACAACCCGCAAAGUGUUCGAACCCAUGCUUGCACUGAUGCAGAGCACGGUACAUCUUAGCUAAGAUCAUUGGGAUGAUAGUAUAAGUUUUUCCUUCGAUACCAUCCAUUAAGGUCCCGGAAACCAUGGCUAAGCGAGUACGAAUCCUUCCUUCUUGCAUCGGGAGGAUCAACAACUACAAGAAGCAGACAAUGAAAACAUAAAAUCGGUGAUGCACCCAUCCUAAUGAGGUAAUGGAUAGUUCAUCAAGAUGAAGACAAUAUGAUUUUCUAUGCCCACAAUGCUGAUAAAGAAACACAACAGGGAUUUAUGAUUUCUUUAGAUAGAGCAGUUCACCAUUCUUCUUAAAACCUAUCAUCUUCAGAAAACCGUGCGGCGUGCGAUUUUCUGGGCCUAGUAGCCCGGGACUAUCCCAUAAUAACUUGGCAAAAACCCCUAUUUCUUCCAGGAUAGGAGUCAUUUCCAUAUUUUCAAAUCAAAAUAACACCUCUUUUCUUGUCCCAGAACAUGGUAGCAGCCUCGAUUAGUUCCCUAUUUGGUCGAAUGUUCAGCAAAAAUGGCAAGUCACCAAGUACUCUCCUGGUAUGAUUUUCUAUCAGAGGGUGCAAGUAUUUCCACCAAUAAACUUGCAAAGGCGGGAUGUUUUGGACCAUACCGAACUUGGAAAUUUCAUGCUUCAUUUUCCGCAAACAAACAAAGGGUAGCCUUUUCCCCUUCCGGAUUUGACUACUUACAUAAUAAUGAUCAACAUGUUGGCACGUUUUCUCCAAGUAAUGCACAUAAUAUGAUGGCGUCCUUUGAUAUCGUGGAAAUCAUGUCGUACUUUGGACAAGGUAUUUAUCUAAAUGGUUUGUAACGUCAACGACGUCUCAAUAAAUACUAAAUUUAGCAUGAUGCAUGUACAAUUCAAAUUGGAGUAUGGUUUCUAGAAACUUUUAGGCGGGUACUCUCAAGUGGACAACUUGAGAGGGAAAGGCACGGGACCAUCGACUGCACUGCUGAUCACCUAGUCUACCGCAAAUAAGCCUUUCCAAUUUAAAACGUAAUUUCAGGAAAGCGCGGAUACUCAUCAAGCGCAACUAUGUUGAUAUUAGGCACAAGUGGGGUAUGAUAUGGAGUAUGCUCUAUGCAUAAAUAGUAACACAUUGCGAAGUAUUUUCAUGGUAAAAGUACGUAAAAACAAUAAUUAUGAUAAAGAUGAACAUGAGUAGAAACCAAAAAAAAAGAACAAAAAGAGAAGUAAGUUUAACUCAUGAAAAUGAACAAGGAUGUAAUGAGAUAGGUCGGGAAAUAGGGACGGGAGAUUUAUAAUUUAUAAGUCUAAGACAAGAUGGGGAGGGGUCAUACAUAUCAUAGCAAUAAAGGGAAACACGGAGGGGAUGAUCAUGUCAUAGCAAUUUAGACAAAUAAAGGAGAAUACGGGAAGGGAUGUGCAUAUCAUAGAAAUUUAAAAAAUAGAUAAAAAUAAAGUAAUUAUUCCAUAUAAGUCAAAUUAGUGUCGGUAAGAGCCUAAGUAUAUUCCCAACAAAACUGGCAUGCGGUCGCGUUUCAUUUUCUCGCAAAAGCAGGUUUCGAUGUCUCACAACUCUUUUAAGGAGGUGUUAGAAGAGAAGAGUCACCACCAAAAAAAUAUUAAGGUGUUUUAGGUCACCUAUUUGCAGGUAACUCUAUUUGAUUAGUAUACACACCAAGGAUCGGGUAAGGGAUCAAAUUACCUCAAAGAGAAGGUGUUAGGCACUCUUCGAGGCCCACAACUGUCGGUCCCAGCCGAAUUUUACAUAUGUGGGUUAGAUCAUUAAGCUAGGUGAUCAAAUAAGAUAUUGAAGUUGAAGACUCAAUUAUAAUAUAAGACAUAAGAAUCAUAAAUGAUUGGCAUAAAUCAUAAAGAUUACAAGGGUACCACUGCAUUGAUCUAUGUUAAAUGACUAAGUGCGAAUAACAAUUAUGUAAAGAAAGGGGGGUCCUAAGUUUUUUAGCCUAAAGGAUCAACCCAUGUAACUUAAUUAAUACUACGCAACUCCUUUAAGGUAGAUGUUGCUUAUAUGCGGGCACAGACUAUCAUCUCCUGCUACGCAAUUACUACGUUGAGUUUGUUACCUAACGGCACUCUAAUUUAGUUCUAAACCAUACCCUAUUUGGGCACAACAUGUCCCAUGCCUAUGGACCAGGAGGAUUUGGACCUACUAUUAGGUAGUUCUAGACUUUACUUAGGGUGCUCAAAAUGAUAAAAGUAGCAUGCAUUCAAAACAUAUAAGACUUCACAUAAAUGCAAGAGAAGGCUAAAAUUAACCCCCACGCACAAGCAACAAAUACACACAACAAAUUCAGGCAAUAGGUAAUUUUAGCAGCAUUACAGUUGUUAUAUCCCAUAGCCAUGGUUUCUAGGUGAUUCUGAUUUCCAGUAUUGACGAGCAGCAGUAAAACUUUAGACUACGGAGUUGAAAGUAUUACAAUCAUAUAGGCAUGAUAUCUAAAUGUUCAUGUAGUAGGAAAUAAGACUAUUUGAAGCCCAAGAUCAACAACUCACAUCUUAUAAAUAGGUAUCUAAGAGGAGUAAUAGCAUCCUACAGCAGGAUUUCUAAUGGUUGACGAUGAGAGUUGGUUUUAGAACAUUUUAUCCUUAUUGGAAUAUUUUGUAGACGGGCAGUGUAAAAGAAGCAUAAAGAAACCGAUUAAUUAUUUAACUCUAUAGUCUUGGUAUCUAGAUGAAUAUAAAUAGGAGCAGGUUUUUAACACGAUCAUAUAGGCAUAAUAUCUAACACAUAGCAUAUAGAGUAAAUUGAGAAAAUAAUCAAUAGUGUUUGAAUCCUACAGGCAUACUAGCGUAUACAAGUGGGACAUGUAAACAAGUGAAACACUUAGAUUCUUAUAGGCAUGUUUUCUAAUCGUACAUAAGAAUAGAACAUGUUGAGCGAGUGAAGCACUUGGAUUCCUAUAGGCAUGCAUUCUAACUUUGUACAGAAAAAAAGCAUAUAAAACAAGUUAGAAAAUAAAACAUUUAGAACCUAUAGUCAUGUUUUCUAUCCUUUCAUGCAAGUAUUAGAAUAUCCCAACUCCUUUUUAUUAACUUUCCCAUCAUUUGUUUUUACAAGUUAUUACAGCUCGAAUGAAAUAAUCAAAUUUGAAUAAUAAUAGAAGAAGACAACUAUAGGCCCAAUGAUAGGCCCGAUACAGAUAACUAAGUGCUUUUCUGGGCCUUCGACAGCUCCAGUAGACUCAGAGCCCAGCUCAUAAGUCCAGUAGUAUGUUUGAAUCCAAUAACCAAGCCUGACAUCACAUAGAAUAGAUACCAAGCCCAAACAAAGGAUUCACACAAGAUUACAAGAAACAGACUAUAUGUUGAACUAACUAAACAGAGCAGGAAAUUCAUAUACUUAGUUCUUAAGACUAUAAAGAUAAUUACCACUAAUACACACAGACAAACUCAUAUGGCGACAAAUUCAUGUUUUCAUUUUAAUGUCUAGGAGACAUGAUAUGUAAGCUAGCAAACCACUCCAAAUAGAUUAGCAAAGUAUAGAAUGAUCCAAAAUUAGCAUAAAAGACAUUAGAUAUAUGAGUUUAAACAAGAAGGUAAUUUUAACCCGAGAGCUUACGAAAAAUGUGGUCACAAACAUCAUAACAACAGGCCAAUGGUAUAGUUUACGUUAGUAGGCAAACAUAUCACUUAGUUGAAAAUGAUAAUUAACAUACCAAGUAUCAAUCAUAGUAUAAAGGUUCAAAAAACAACACCAGAAGUCAUGAUAAGUAAAAAUAUAUCAACUCCAGAUUAGCAGGACAUGCGGGCACUAGGUCUGAACCACCAUUAGGGGAAGAGGCAGGAUAUUGAACCUUAUCCUAAAAGUCUUAGGCAAUAUUAAUGAGCACAGGAGUGAACAGAUCAGGGAGCACACAUUAAUCAUCAAGAAAGCAUGUUUGGCUAACAAUAUGAUCAAGAAUUAUCUCUAGGACAACAGUAAGUUAUACAUGAAUGAUCCAACAUAAAAACACAUUUUGGGCAUGAAUUGGUUUAUCACAUGAAUCCAGAUCAGGGAAGAAAAUAAACUCAGGACAAGAAGCAGAUAUAAGCAUACAAACGUGCUAGGAUAGACAUCCUUAAGAAAGUCAGGAUUAGAGUUAGAAUUUGGGCAAGUUCAGAUGCUAGAAGUAGUAUAAAGCCAAAAGAAUAAACUUAGAGCAACUAGGGCAGCAAAUUGAAAUGAAAUAGUAGCAUAUUGGUUCACAAAGGUUUUAAUGACAUAGAUAUACAGAGCAUGAACAUAAACGACUAGAGAAUAAAACUGCAAUGACCAAAGGGACUUACCAGAUACAAAAUUAACAAAUAUGCAAAUAAGAGGAGAAACUUCCAAUAGUAAUUCAAUUAAUAGUAGCAAAGAGUAGUAAAAUCCCCAAAAUCCUAGUGCAUCAGAGUUCCCAAGAGUCUGAAAUGAACCCCAGAUAGUGCUCCCACUAAUAAAUAACACAAUCAAAUUCUAAUGGCCUUGGCUUUAAGGUCUCAAGUUUCAGAGCACAAUAAAUUAGAGUGAGAGAAUAAUACAGUGAUAAGGUCUGUUAAAGGGGAUUAGGAAAAAGGUUUAUAUAUUAAUCGAUUAAGUAGAUAAACAAGGAAAGAAAAUCAAUCAAGUUCAAGCAAGAAAAAGAAAAAUCAUAUGUAUAGCUUAUUCCGAAUCAGAAUAGGUGAAAAUCGGACAAACAUUAGUUUUACAAGUAGUCAAAAAUUAGCUAAAAUUCUCGAUGAAUCGGACCCAUACGACCUUGUUGAGAGUGUAAAUAGAUGGAUAUUCGUCUGAACCUUAUCGGUUGAGGAUGAAUUCACUCGAUUCGAAGAGGUAAUACAUGCCAAAAUCGGACAAGUACCAAGAGAUACCACGAUUGUAUGAAUGAUAACGAGAUUGUGCAAAUAAGGUAAGCAGAUCGUGAAAGAAUUUCAUGAUUUAGCCGGGUUUUGAGGAGAUUUCGAGUGGGAGUAGAAAGAUUAGAGAAUGCAAAGGCGGUCGGUUUGGGGGAAUGGUCUCUAGGGUUUGGUUGUGGAUAUAAGGAAAUAUGGCGAUUUAUUAUGGGUCGUUGAUCAAUGACCAGGAUUGAAUAAGAAAGGGGUG
Molecule: long non-coding RNA, 6060 nt
Filed under: Nicotiana benthamiana
Lineage: Eukaryota; Viridiplantae; Streptophyta; Magnoliopsida; Solanales; Solanaceae
Description: long non-coding RNA (NBEN_LNC028818)
Source: RNAcentral